This 301-nucleotide ribosomal RNA is filed under the name uncultured bacterium. RNAcentral's name for it is "partial 16S ribosomal RNA". It matches the Rfam family "Bacterial small subunit ribosomal RNA", at positions 509 to 807 of the family's 1533-position model. The record is from RNAcentral.
CAGCCGCCGCGGGAAUACGAAGGGUGCAAGCGUUACUCGGAAUUACUGGGCGUAAAGCGCGCGUAGGCGGUUACUCAAGUCAGAGGUGAAAGCCCGGGGCUCAACCCCGGAACUGCCUUUGAAACUAGGUGACUAGAAUCUUGGAGAGGUCAGUGGAAUUCCGAGUGUAGAGGUGAAAUUCGUAGAUAUUCGGAAGAACACCAGUGGCGAAGGCGGCUUACUGGCUCAUACUGGACGCUGAGGUGCGAAAGCGUGGGGAGCAAACAGGAUUAGAUACCCGAGUAGUCCCUGUCUCUUAUAC